Molecule: long non-coding RNA, 343 nt
Filed under: Elaeis guineensis (African oil palm)
Lineage: Eukaryota; Viridiplantae; Streptophyta; Magnoliopsida; Arecales; Arecaceae
Description: long non-coding RNA (EGUI_LNC056177)
Source: RNAcentral
GGCUCCUUAGCAAGGGCUAUGGUGCCAUUAUCUUUGCAGUAUAGUGUCAUGACAUCUAAUGACAUGACAUCUAAUUCUUCAACUAACAUUAGAACCAGAAUGCAUCUUACACAUCUACAAUGUACUCAACUUCCACCAAUCGAUUAUUUGGAACCCUUCCAAGAUAUUGACACAGGAUCGCACUCCAUGACAUAGACAUUCUACCAUCAAUGUCAGAUAUAAAAUUUGAAUUGAUGUAUCCUUUCACUCCUAGCUUUGAUCUUUCUUCAAAUUAAUAAUAAAUCCUUAGUUCUUCUUAAGAGCUUAAGGAUGUUUUUACAGCAAUCCAGCACUCUUAGACUAG